GCUCCCGUAGCUCAGCUGGAUAGAGCAACGGUCUUCUAAACCGUAGGUCACAGGUUCGAGUCCUGUCGGGAGUG
This 74-nucleotide transfer RNA is filed under the name Flavobacteriales bacterium. RNAcentral describes it as "tRNA-Arg". It matches the Rfam family "tRNA". From Rfam's summary of the family: Transfer RNA (tRNA) molecules are approximately 80 nucleotides in length. Their secondary structure includes four short double-helical elements and three loops (D, anti-codon, and T loops). Further hydrogen bonds mediate the characteristic L-shaped molecular structure. tRNAs have two regions of fundamental functional importance: the anti-codon, which is responsible for specific mRNA codon recognition, and the 3' end, to which the tRNAs corresponding amino acid is attached (by aminoacyl-tRNA synthetases). tRNAs cope with the degeneracy of the genetic code in two manners: having more than one tRNA (with a specific anti-codon) for a particular amino acid; and 'wobble' base-pairing, i.e. permitting non-standard base-pairing at the 3rd anti-codon position. Lineage: Bacteria; Pseudomonadati; Bacteroidota; Flavobacteriia; Flavobacteriales. The record is from RNAcentral.